This 2696-nucleotide long non-coding RNA is filed under the name Salmo salar (Atlantic salmon). Its description in RNAcentral is "lncRNA (ENSSSAG00000084171.1)". The record is from RNAcentral. Lineage: Eukaryota; Metazoa; Chordata; Actinopteri; Salmoniformes; Salmonidae.
CUCAGUACCCAUCCUCCCACCUCCAGAUGCACAACCCCCCGGGUACUAUCCUGGGUUGGAGCCCAUUCUGUCACACGCAAUGCCUCAAUGCGGCGCAGCCUGUCCCUGGACGUCCUCCUGCAGGCUUGGGAAAAGCCUCAGAUCUCUCAGUCGUUCCCACGGACCACCACGACCUCCGUGAGGUUUUCAGCAAGGCCCGCGCCACAUCUCUUCCUUCGCAUCGACCCUACGACUGUGCCAUUGACCUCCUCCCGGGCACUACACCACCUCGGAGGCGGCUUUACUCCCUGUCUGGUCCAGAGACCAAGACCAUGGAUGGGUACAUUGAGAACUCUAUGGCUGCAGGGUUUGUUCGUCCUUCGUCCUGUCUGGCAGCUACACUCGACUGGGGCAUCGAGAUCCUGGUCCACAAGGCGCAGUGUUCCCAGCCGUUUAACCAGGCCCGGCUAACCAGUUGUUUGUCCCAGAUUCUGCUUGGUCCCCAGUCCUGGAAUGGGCUUAUUCCUCUAACCUUAUCUGCCAUCACGACUCCUGAUGGAUCAUGGUCUUCCUCCGACAACGGUUUUGUUGGCCCACCGUACUUCCUGACGUCUCCACGUUUGUAGCCGCCUGCAUUGUGUGUGCGCUGAAUAAGACCCUGCGGCAGGCUGCGGCAGGACUCCUUCAACCACUCCCUGUUCCUCACCACCCCUGGUCCCAUAUAUCACUGGACUUUGUCACUGGUCUCCCUCCGUCCAAUGGCAACAGCACCAUCCUUACGGUAGUGGAUAGGUUUUCCAAAGCCGCCCAUUUCAUUCACCUUCCAAAGUUACCCUCAGUCAAGGAGACGGCCCAGCUCAUGGUGCAGCACGUCUUCCGGAUCCAUGGACUUUCGGUCAACAUGGUCUCUGAUCGUGGUCCUCAGUUCUCGUCACGGUUUUGGAAGACGUUCUGCACCCUCAUUUGGCCAUCGGCCAGCCUGUCCUCCGGGUUUCAUCCCCAAUCUAACGGCCAUUCAGAGCAAGCCAAUCAGGACCUGGAGACGACUCUUUGUUGCCUCGUCUCUGCCAACCCCACCACCUGGAGCCAGCAAUUCAUUGUUCUCUGUUUAAUAAAUUACAAGAUGAGCACUAACCACGCUGCGCCUUGGUCUACUCCCUGCAACAGCCGUUACAGAACCACCCACCACCAACGGACCAAGCAGCGUGGGAAAAAGGAGUCAUGGACCUGGGAGGAAAUCCUGGAUGGGGCAGGACCGUGGACAAGGCCGGGAGAAUACCGCCGCCCGCCGGAGGAGAUAGAGGCAGCGAAAGACAGAAUGGCGUUUCUGGGAGGAUCGGCUGGCACGGCAAGAGGAGGCUGAGAGGCAGCCCCCCAAAUUUAUUUUGGGGGGGGCAGACGGGUAGAUUGGCGGAGUCAGGCGAUAGACCUGAGCCAACUCCCCGUGCUUACCGGAAGCGGCGUGGUACUGGUCAGGCGCCGUGUUAUGCGGUGAAGCGCACAGUGUCUCCAGUGCGCGCUCAUAGCCCAGUGCGCUACAUCCCAGCCCCCCGCAAGUGCCAUGCUAGAGUGGGCAUCCAGCCAGGACGGGUUGUGCAGGCCGCACCUCCAGUGCGUCUCCAGGACCCGGUCUAUCCUGUGCCUGCUCCCAGAGCCAGGCCUCCUGCAUGUCUCCCCAGCCUGGUGAGUCCUGUGCCUGAGCCCAGAGCCAGGCCUCCUGCAUGUCUCCCCAGCCUGGUGAGUCCUGUGCCUGAGCCCAGAGCCAGGCCUACUGAAAGUUCCGCCAGUCCGGAGCCGCCAGAGCCGCCCGCCUGUCCGGCGCCGCCAGAGCCGCCCGCCAGUCCGGCGCCGCCAGAGCCGCCAGAGUUGCCCGCCUAGAGGCGAGGGACCCCGCUCUAGAGGCGCCACCAAAGUGGGGUGAGCCAGUGGUGGAGCAGGGUCUGCGUCCCGCUCCUGAAAUUAGCAUACCCUCGGCCCAAGUGUUCGUCCGCCGCUGUCGGCGUACCUGGUAGAGAGCCAGGUCCACUCUUCUUAAGACCACCUCCAGGUAUCGGCAACAGGCGGACCGCCACCAGACCCCUGCUCCCCGCUAUCGUCUCAGGCAGAGGAUAUGGCUCUCCACUCGGGAUCUGGCCCCUGGGUGGAGUUCCGUAAACUUUCCCUCCGCUUUUUCGGCUCUUUCCCCAUCUCUAAAGUCCUUAGCACCACUGUUGUUCGCCUUCUGUUGCCCCGCACCCUCUGUAUAGAUCCCACUUUCCGUGUGUCUACGAUUAAACCUCUGUCUCACAGCCCUUUGUCCUGACCCUGAGCCUACCUGCCGUUCUGUCCCUGAUUGACUCUGCCUUGGAUUACGAACCUCUGCCUGCCCUUGACCUGCCCUUUACCUGACCCUCUGCCUGCCCUUGACCUGCCCUUUACCUGACCCUAUGUUAUAAUAAAUAUUCUGAGAAUCGAACCAUCCACCUCCUCCUGGGUCAUUUCCUGAGUUGUGAUAAUAACUGAAUGAUUGAUAAAAAAAGAAGCAGUCCAGCUGGUUUUUCAUGCUCUCCCAUUUUUCUGCAUUAAAGUGGACAUGCUCUAAUUGAGUCAUUUUUACAUGUAAAAAAAAAAAAUCUAAUGUAUUUAUUAAGCCCUUCUUACAUCAGCUGAUAUAACAAAUACAUCAAAUAUAACAAAGUGCUGUACAGAAACCCAGCCUAAAACCCCAAACAGCAAAC